UAGAAAGGGGAGAUAAUAUGUGCAUCAAACAAGCUUUUAAACAACUCCCUGUAUGGUACCAGAAUUGGUGUGUACUGAGGCUUUUCCGUGUUCUGUCUUGUGCCAGAUUCCUGUCUUGAUGAACCUUGUUGAUUAGUAGCCACCUUUCCUAGUUGGUUCACCGUGAUCGAUUUCGAGUAACCCUUAUUAUAGGUGUUCAUGUUGUUCACCUCAUUCUCCUUUUUCCUUGGAACCGUCCUUCGGUUACCUUCUCCAGC
Molecule: long non-coding RNA, 257 nt
Filed under: Gossypium barbadense (sea-island cotton)
Lineage: Eukaryota; Viridiplantae; Streptophyta; Magnoliopsida; Malvales; Malvaceae
Description: long non-coding RNA (GBAR_LNC014330)
Source: RNAcentral